Molecule: non-coding RNA, 116 nt
Organism: Pelobates cultripes (western spadefoot toad)
Lineage: Eukaryota; Metazoa; Chordata; Amphibia; Anura; Pelobatidae
Source: the annotation of a GenBank genome assembly
UGUUUGCAUAGUGUGUGUAUAUAAUGCAGUGUGUUUGUGUAGUGUGUUUAUAUACUACACUGUAGUGUUUAUACACUACACAAACACACUGCAUUAUAUACACACACUAUACAAAC